Molecule: long non-coding RNA, 213 nt
Organism: Myzus persicae (green peach aphid)
Lineage: Eukaryota; Metazoa; Arthropoda; Insecta; Hemiptera; Aphididae
Exons: 2
Source: RefSeq, a predicted model, not a curated record
UGAAUCAAUAUUAUUUGCACAAUAUUUAAUGCAGCUCAAACGUUUUGGAGUAAGAAGUUCUGGAUAGCUUCCUGUUAUCUAUGUAAAAUAUUCCAAAAAAUAUAUAGAAAGGUUUUCGGGUCCAGGGCCGUCAGAUGGUUACGAACGAUAUACUUCCGGAGGUUCGAUUCGCAAACCGUGCUCAUCUGGUUUGGAGACCUAAGCUACCUAUAU